The sequence is a transfer RNA, 85 nucleotides long. It matches the Rfam family "tRNA". Rfam says of the family: Transfer RNA (tRNA) molecules are approximately 80 nucleotides in length. Their secondary structure includes four short double-helical elements and three loops (D, anti-codon, and T loops). Further hydrogen bonds mediate the characteristic L-shaped molecular structure. tRNAs have two regions of fundamental functional importance: the anti-codon, which is responsible for specific mRNA codon recognition, and the 3' end, to which the tRNAs corresponding amino acid is attached (by aminoacyl-tRNA synthetases). tRNAs cope with the degeneracy of the genetic code in two manners: having more than one tRNA (with a specific anti-codon) for a particular amino acid; and 'wobble' base-pairing, i.e. permitting non-standard base-pairing at the 3rd anti-codon position.
GGGAGUGUACCCAAGUGGCCAAAGGGGGCAGACUGUAAAUCUGUUGUCGACGACUUCGGUGGUUCAAAUCCACCCGCUCCCACCA